CAGUAGCGUAUAUUAAAGUUGUUGCAGUUAAAAUGCUCGUAGUUGAAGUUCGGAUGCAGCAGAGCUUGGAAACGCUGUUAUGGUGCUUCCGUUGCUUUUGCUUGUCCACAGGGCGUUGCAAGUACGUAUGUGCUUGUGCGUGCAUUUUACUUUGAGAAACAUAGGGUGUUCCACGCAUGUUACGGCAUGAAUAUUCCAGCAUGGGAUAAUCUGGUACGACUUCCAAUCUGCCAUUUUGGUUCGUAGGUUGGAAGUAAUGAUUAAUAGGGACUGUCGGGGGCAUUGGUAUUUGACUGUCAGAGGUGAAAUUCUUAGAUUCGUUGAGGACCAACCACUGCGAAAGCAUUUGUCAAGGAUGUCUCCAUUAA
This 368-nucleotide ribosomal RNA is filed under the name uncultured eukaryote. RNAcentral describes it as "partial 18S ribosomal RNA". It matches the Rfam family "Eukaryotic small subunit ribosomal RNA", at positions 592 to 976 of the family's 1831-position model. The record is from RNAcentral.